RNAcentral lists this ribosomal RNA (253 nucleotides) under uncultured bacterium. Its description in RNAcentral is "partial 16S ribosomal RNA". It matches the Rfam family "Bacterial small subunit ribosomal RNA", at positions 524 to 776 of the family's 1533-position model. The record is from RNAcentral.
UACGAAGGGUCCAAGCGUUAUCCGGAUUUAUUGGGUUUAAAGGGUGCGUAGGCGGCUUAUUAAGUCAGUGGUGAAAGACUUCAGCUUAACUGAAGAAUUGCCAUUGAUACUGAUGAGCUUGAGUACAGUUGAGGUGGGCGGAAUGUGUCAUGUAGCGGUGAAAUGCUUAGAUAUGACACAGAACACCGAUUGCGAAGGCAGCUCGCUAAACUGUAACUGACGCUGAGGCACGAAAGCGUGGGGAGCAAACAGG